AUACGGAGGAUCCGAGCGUUAUCCGGAUUUAUUGGGUUUAAAGGGUGCGCAGGCGGGAGAUUAAGUCGGCGGUGAAAUUUUGCAGCUCAACUGUAAAAGUGCCUUCGAAACUGGUUUCCUUGAGUGUAGAUGAAGUAGGCGGAAUUUGUGGUGUAGCGGUGAAAUGCAUAGAUAUCACGAGGAACUCCGAUUACGCAGGCAGCGUACUAAACUACUACUGACGCUCAGGCACGAAGGCGUGGGGAUCAAACAGGAUUAGAUACCCUGGUAGUCCACGCAGUAAACGAUGAUUACUAGCUGUUUGCGAUACAAUGUAAGCGGCUGAGCGAAAGCGUUAAGUAAUCCACCUGGGGAGUACGUUCGCAAGAAUGAAACUCAAAUGAAUUGACGGGG
This 393-nucleotide ribosomal RNA is filed under the name uncultured bacterium. RNAcentral's name for it is "partial 16S ribosomal RNA". It matches the Rfam family "Bacterial small subunit ribosomal RNA", at positions 523 to 918 of the family's 1533-position model. The record is from RNAcentral.